This 442-nucleotide ribosomal RNA is filed under the name uncultured bacterium. Its description in RNAcentral is "bacterial SSU rRNA". It matches the Rfam family "Bacterial small subunit ribosomal RNA", at positions 958 to 1399 of the family's 1533-position model. The record is from RNAcentral.
AACGCGAAGAACCUUACCUGGGUUUGAAAUUCACCGGAAGACUCCAGAGAUGGUGUUCGUCCUUCGGGACUGGUGAACAGGUGCUGCAUGGCUGUCGUCAGCUCGUGCCGUGAGGUGUUGGGUUAAGUCCCGCAACGAGCGCAACCCUUAUCCUUAGUUGCCAUCGGGUGAAGCCGGGCACUCUGGGGAGACUGCCAGCAUAAGCUGGAGGAAGGUGGGGAUGACGUCAAGUCAGCAUGGCCCUUACGUCCAGGGCUACACACGUGCUACAAUGGUCGGUACAAAGGGCUGCCAACCCGCGAGGGGGAGCGAAUCUCAUAAAGCCGAUCUCAGUUCGGAUUGCAGGCUGCAACUCGCCUGCAUGAAGUCGGAAUCACUAGUAACCGCAGAUCAGCUACGCUGCGGUGAAUACGUUCCCGGGCCUUGUACACACCGACGCGUA